GGGCGGUGUGUACAAAGGGCAGGGACGUAAUCAACGCAAGCUGAUGACUUGCGCUUACUAGGAAUUCCUCGUUGAAGAGCAAUAAUUACAAUGCUCUAUCCCCAGCACGACGGAGUUUCACAAGAUUACCAAGACCUCUCGGCCAAGGUUAGACUCGCUGGCUCCGUCAGUGUAGCGCGCGUGCGGCCCAGAACGUCUAAGGGCAUCACAGACCUGUUAUUGCCUCAAACUUCCAUCGGCUUGAAACCGAUAGUCCCUCUAAGAAGCGGACAACCAGCAAAUGCUAGCACCACUAUUUAGUAGGUUAAGGUCUCGUUCGUUAUCGCAAUUAAGCAGACAAAUCACUCCACCAACUAAGAACGGCCAUGCACCACCACCCACAAAAUCAAGAAAGAGCUCUCAAUCUGUCAAUCCUUAUUGUGUCUGGACCUGGUGAGUUUCCCCGUGUUGAGUCAAAUUAAGCCGCAGGCUCCACUCCUGGUGGUGCCCUUCCGUCAAUUCCUUUAAGUUUCAGCCUUGCGACCAUACUCCCCCCAGAACCCAAAGACUUUGAUUUCCCGUAAGGUGCCGAGUGGGUCAUUAAAAAAACACCACCCGAUCCCUAGUCGGCAUAGUUUAUGGUUAAGACUACGACGGUAUCUGAUCAUCUUCGAUCCCCUAACUUUCGUUCUUGAUUAAUGAAAACGUCCUUGGCAAAUGCUUUCGCAGUAGUUAGUCUUCAAUAAAUCCAAGAAUUUCACCUCUGACAAUUGAAUACUGAUGCCCCCGACCGUCCCUAUUAAUCAUUACGAUGGUCCUAGAAACCAACAAAAUAGAACCAAACGUCCUAUUCUAUUAUUCCAUGCUAAUAUAUUCGAGCAAUACGCCUGCUUUGAACACUCUAAUUUUUUCAAAGUAAAAAUCCUGGUUCGCCAAGAGCCACAAGGACCCAAGGUUAGCCAGAAGGAAAGGUCCGCUUGGGAUUCCAGUACACGAAAAAAUCGGACCGGCCAAACAGACCCAAAG
RNAcentral lists this ribosomal RNA (1005 nucleotides) under uncultured eukaryote. RNAcentral describes it as "partial 18S ribosomal RNA". The record is from RNAcentral.